Molecule: microRNA precursor, 85 nt
Filed under: Ipomoea nil (Japanese morning glory)
Lineage: Eukaryota; Viridiplantae; Streptophyta; Magnoliopsida; Solanales; Convolvulaceae
Description: mir-160 microRNA precursor family
Rfam family: mir-160 microRNA precursor family
About the family: The hairpin precursors (represented here) are predicted based on base pairing and cross-species conservation -- their extents are not known. In this case the mature sequence is excised from the 5' arm of the hairpin.
Source: Rfam by way of RNAcentral
ACGUGCCUGGCUCCCUGUAUGCCAUCUGCGGAGCUCAUCGAGAGCGAUGGGCAUCUGUGAAUGGCGUAUGAGGAGCCAAGCAUGU